CCUGAUGCAGCCAUGCCGCGUGUGUGAAGAAGGCCUUCGGGUUGUAAAGCACUUUCAGUUGUGAGGAAAAGUUAGUAGUUAAUACCUGCUAGCCGUGACGUUAACAACAGAAGAAGCACCGGCUAACUCCGUGCCAGCAGCCGCGGUAAUACGGAGGGUGCGAGCGUUAAUCGGAAUUACUGGGCGUAAAGCGCACGCAGGCGGUUUGUUAAGCUAGAUGUGAAAGCCCCGGGCUCAACCUGGGAUGGUCAUUUAGAACUGGCAGACUAGAGUCUUGGAGAGGGGAGUGGAAUUCCAGGUGUAGCGGUGAAAUGCGUAGAUAUCUGGAGGAACAUCAGUGGCGAAGGCGACUCCCUGGCCAAAGACUGACGCUCAUGUGCGAAAGUGUGGGUAGCGAACAGGAUUAGAUACCCUGGUAGUCCACACCGUAAACGCUGUCUACUAGCUGUGUGUGCCUUUAAGGCUGUGCGUAGCGAAGCUAACGCGAUAAGUAGACCGCCUGGGGAGUACGGCCGCAAGGUUAAAACUCAAAUGAAUUGACGGGGGCCCGCACAAGCGGUGGAGCAUGUGGUUUAAUUCGAUGCAACGCGAAGAACCUUACCUACACUUGACAUGCUGAGAAGUUACUAGAGAUAGUUUCGUGCCUUCGGGAACUCAGACACAGGUGCUGCAUGGCUGUCGUCAGCUCGUGUCGUGAGAU
RNAcentral lists this ribosomal RNA (700 nucleotides) under Alteromonas marina. Its description in RNAcentral is "bacterial SSU rRNA". It matches the Rfam family "Bacterial small subunit ribosomal RNA", at positions 382 to 1073 of the family's 1533-position model. Lineage: Bacteria; Pseudomonadati; Pseudomonadota; Gammaproteobacteria; Alteromonadales; Alteromonadaceae. The record is from RNAcentral.